GAUGAACGCUGGCGGCGUGCCUAAUACAUGCAAGUCGAGCGAACGGACGAGAAGCUUGCUUUUCUGAUGUUAGCGGCGGACGGGUGAGUAACACGUGGAUAACCUACCUAUAAGACUGGGAUAACUUCGGGAAACCGGAGCUAAUACCGGAUAAUAUUUUGAACCGCAUGGUUCAAAAGUGAAAGACGGUCUUGCUGUCACUUAUAGAUGGAUCCGCGCUGCAUUAGCUAGUUGGUAAGGUAACGGGUUACCAAGGCAACGAUGCAUAGCCGAACUGAGAGGGUGAUCGGCCACACUGGAACGGAGACACGGUCCAGACGCCUACGGGAGGCAGCAGUAGGGAAUCUUCCGCAAUGGGCGAAAGCCUGACGGAGCAACGCCGCGUGAGUGAUGAAGGUCUUCGGAUCGUAAAACUCUGUUAUUAGGGAAGAACAUAUGUGUAAGUAACUGUGCACAUCUUGACGGUACCUAAUCAGAAAGCCACGGCUAACUACGUG
RNAcentral lists this ribosomal RNA (497 nucleotides) under uncultured bacterium. RNAcentral's name for it is "partial 16S ribosomal RNA". It matches the Rfam family "Bacterial small subunit ribosomal RNA", at positions 28 to 507 of the family's 1533-position model. The record is from RNAcentral.